Molecule: ribosomal RNA, 446 nt
Filed under: uncultured bacterium
Lineage: Bacteria
Description: partial 16S ribosomal RNA
Rfam family: Bacterial small subunit ribosomal RNA
Source: RNAcentral
CCUACGGGUGGCAGCAGUCGAGAAAUAUUCACAAUGGGGGAAACCCUGAUGGGGCGACGCCGCGUGGGGGAAUGAAGGUCUUCGGAUUGUAAACCCCUGUCAUGUGGGAGCAAAUUAAAAAGAUAGUACCACAAGAGGAAGAGACGGCUAACUCUGUGCCAGCAGCCGCGGUAAUACAGAGGUCUCAAGCGUUGUUCGGAAUGACUGGGCGUAAGGCGUGCGUAGGCUGUUUCGUAAGUCGUGUGUGAAAGGCGCGGGCUCAACCCGCGGACGGCACAUGAUACUGGGAGACUAGAGUAAUGGAGGGGGAACCGGAAUUCUCGGUGUAGCAGUGAAAUGCGUAGAUAUCGAGAGGAACACUCGUGGCGAAGGCGGGUUCCUGGACAUUAACUGACGCUGAGGCACGAAGGCCAGGGGAGCGAAAGGGAUUAGAUACCCGUGUAGUC